Molecule: long non-coding RNA, 2645 nt
Filed under: Sus scrofa (pig)
Lineage: Eukaryota; Metazoa; Chordata; Mammalia; Artiodactyla; Suidae
Description: lncRNA (ENSSSCG00005032185.1)
Rfam family: Small nucleolar RNA SNORA71 (bases 1068-1201)
Source: RNAcentral
AGUCUUCUUCGCCCCGCUGCCACAGUCCCGGCGCCCCAGGCCCUGCGCAGAUGAAGACCCUCCCUCGGACGGCUUUGCGGGCCCUGCCUCAGCCGGCGCCCCCUUCUCUCCUGCAGGACCCGGACCCGCACUGCAGGGGCUGAGUGCCCCCUGGGUCGGCGUCUGAGUCUUGCCUCCCCGUAGGCUCAGUACCUGGCAUGUGUCCAAGGCUCAGCAGCUGUACCACAACCACCCAACAGGAGAGAAGGAAAGGAGAGGUGCACCCCGGGGAUGUGAGGAGGCAGCACCGGGCAGAGGGGCCCUUGAGAGAUGUCACCAUCCUGUUAAGAAAGGGCUGGACCACAGCGCUGCAGAGAUGAGUCCACGGUGUGCAGAGGCCGUCGUGGAAGUUGUCGUGUCAGGAGCGCUGUAGACCGCAGUGUCCUUGAGGUGAGAGCUCUGGUCCAUCCUCUGGAGUGUUGGGGCCUCACAGUAGUCACGUGAGUUCUCAGGGCCCUGGGUGCAGAUGGAGGGGAGCUGAGAGGUGAGAUGAAGGCAGCACCCACGAGUCCCAGAUCUGCUCACCACCUCAGCCCCAAGCAACCUUGAUCACCCCUGCACGUGUCUUCAGUGGCCGCCGGGGGUGGGCCUCGUGUCCCACUUGGGUACUGGGAGCUCCGGUUCAGGAGUGUCUGCCCUCCGUCCCUCGAGCGUGGGCAGAGCAUAUUGGGAUGGAAAGUGGGUGGACCAGAGAUGCUUUCCCUCUGAGUUUGAUGCCCCUUUUGCCGCCAUCUCAGUUUGCGACCUUGUCUUCUUCAUUUGAAAAUCCAAGCUAUGACAGAGAUGAUUUUGUGGUACUUAGGACCGCAAAAUGCCUAUAAUUUCCAGCCAUGAUAUUUCCUCACUGUUUUUGCCCAAAGUGACUCCUCUUUGAUUCCCUUUGGCAGGGAGGUCCUGUUGGGCUUUCACAGGAAAGAAUGGCCACCCCUGGGCUUCUGUGCUUGGCCGAGUCUUUUUGCUAGACUCAGUGUAUCCUCUAGGCCACUGGCACCUGCUCAUCUUCGUAGAUCUCUCUCUGCCUUGCGUGCACCUGCAUUCAAAAGUGACCACGGGCUGGCCGUGCUCUGGUCGUUGAUAAUGCAGGGAGAGGAAUUGUGGAAAGCAGUUUCCCGAAUUUGGAGGGUCCACACCUGUCCCUUUCAAAUGCUGGCGCUUUCACACACUCCUGCUUCUCUCCAGCCCAUGCGUUCUGCUCUCAGGCACUGGGAGCUGCGUGUGACAGGCAGUGACAGGAGACUUCCAAGCCUAAACUUCCUGUUAUCAGAGCCAGGCUGUGUCGUGUCGUGUUGAGAUACUUUAGGGGGUGUAAGGAGCCAGGAUGAAUUACGCAUAAUGAAUAAGUAUGGUGUUGGGGGGGUACAUAGUGAUUGGCAUAAGACUUUCUAGGGGAAGCAGCUCUUUGGAGGUGGUGGACUGGGCAGGCCUUUGAAGGGGCGGGUGUCAUAGGCAACAGGAAGGGCUUCGAGGGGAGGGGAGGCACACAAGGGUGACUUGAGGCAGGGGUGAGCACGAGCACCGGGGAGUCAGGUGCACAGAUAAGUGAUGGCUCUGGGAAGUGGGGGACGGCUGCUGGGGUGGUGGGCUGAACAGUAGGAGAGAACAAGCUCUCCAGCCAUCUCUCUGCCAAUUCCCUUUACUCUGUCACCCUGAGAAGACCCAUUUUUCCAAGACAGUGUUCAUUCUGACUCUUCUCUGGGAGCAUUGAGAUUCCUUUUUGAGCCAAGUUUGGUGUGGAAAAAAACACUGCAGCUCAUCUCUGACUAAUUGGGGACGCUUUCAUGGAUGUCACCUUAAAGAAAGAUGAGGUAAUACUGGAAUUCCCUUUGUGACUCAGCGGAAAUGAACCCGACUCGUAUCCAUGAGGAUGCGGGUUUGAUCCCUGGCCUGGCUCAGUGGGUUAAGGAUCUGGCAUUUCCAUGAGCUGUGGUGUAGGUCGCAGAUGCAGCUUGGAUCCUGCGUUGCUGUAGCCUAGGAUGGCAGCUACAGCUCUGAUUCAAUCCCUACCCUGAGAACUUCCAUAUCCUGUGGGUGCGGCCCUAAAAAGAGAAAAGAAAAAAAAAUAGAUGAGGUAAUAUUGGGGAGCAAACUCUUGUCAUGCCCUCCUGGUCUGUGGCCUCCUCGUUGCUCUAGGGGUGCUGCUUUGGAAGAAGCCUCGGGGGUCAGAACCACUCGCCCUCUCAAGGUGAGGACCUGGGUCCCAGCUCCCCCGGAGGGUCCUCCUCAUGGUAUUUAGGGGCUGACCGCGGACACUGGCGUAGCAGCGUGAAGCAGGAUGUUGUCGCAUGACCAUCGCCAAACCUUUCUCUUCUGUUGCCUCAGCACAGCGUGGAAGGACUCUGCCCUCUGUGUGAACAGGGCAGAGGGGACGUUCUGGGGCUCCAGGGACUUGGGAUUCAGAGCUGGAGACCUUCUACUGGCUCCCAGCAGGUGCCUCAGAACACUGCUGACCAGGAAGACUGUCUCUUCCCAUCUGGACCAGGUCAUCCCGUGGCUUCUGUGUCUCCCAUUUGCUCCUAGUAUAACUUUUUAGAACCAGGAGUUCCUGUUGGAGUCUUGUGUGCCAUGCGUCUUAUCUUCUCACCCACUUAAAUAAAUCUCGAAACUGC